This 30-nucleotide non-coding RNA is filed under the name Homo sapiens (human). The record is from RNAcentral. Lineage: Eukaryota; Metazoa; Chordata; Mammalia; Primates; Hominidae.
UAAUUGGUGCAUCCUGUGUAAAUGGAAGCU